Long non-coding RNA from Oreochromis niloticus (Nile tilapia), 2149 nucleotides. RefSeq lists it as uncharacterized. The record is from RefSeq and is a predicted model, not a curated record. The transcript is spliced from 4 exons. Lineage: Eukaryota; Metazoa; Chordata; Actinopteri; Cichliformes; Cichlidae.
GUGUGACAUCAGCGGUCAUGGAGAGUCUCCAUCCAGCUGGAUCACUGUCACAGGGGAAGACACCACCACACCUCCACCUACAUCCACCUCUCCUCCCGUUCUCUCUGUGCUGUCAUGUGUUCGAUUAGUCUGUGUUGUGGUUCUACUGGUGUUACUGGUUCUGCUGGUGAGAAGAUAUGUUCACAAGAAACCUGAAGACUUUAAACCAGAGCCAGAUGUCGUCUACUCUUCACUGAAGUAGUCCACCAGUCCAACCACUGACGUCCAGCUGCUGGUCUCUAACUGGUCCCCCCAGCACCUAAGACCAGAGGACAUCCACAUGUUCAAAAGAUUGCUCUAUGUAUUUUCUCUCCCUUUUUCCACUUAUUUAAACUCAUGUGCGUUAAAAUCACUCAAGUUUAACUGGAGUUAACAAUAAUAAAAUGUUUUAUGGCCAAAAUAAGUUUUCUGUUACUCAUACUCAGUGUAUGAGUUUGGCACUUUGUUCUUUUUCCCAUAAUAGUGAUUUUGUUUCCUUGUAGGAUUAAAAAACUGUUGUUCUCACUUGUUUUUCUCAUGUGAUUUUUUGGGUUACACCAAAGUAUCAGAUGGCAAAACAGCUGCGAUGGUUUAGUUGUGGUUAACUGUGUGGGGGGGGGGGGGUUUCAGUCCAGAAAACAAAGAAUUACAAUUAAAACUGAACUUGUCAUGGGUUUAACACCACAGAAACAAGCUCCAGUACAGAUUAUGAGCAGGGCUGUAACCAGGGUUUAGAAAUUUUCCUCUUACUAUUUCACAUUAAAGGUGCAGCACCUGUCAUCCAGUUGCCAUUAAAAAAGGCCUGAACUCUGAAGAGACAAUCUGUCAUGGUCCCUGUGCCCCGCUGGGCGACCCUCUAUUAGGCAAUAUGUUUGUGGGUUUUUUGCUCUCUCCCCCUCUCGCUCUCUCUCUCUCUCUUGCCGCGGCGACGCUCAUUGCGGGCUCCCGCUGCUGGCCCACACACCUGCUCUCAUCAUCGCACCGGCCGCUGAUUCCAGCUGAGUACUGCACUACUUAAGAUGGCGAGUCUGCACUAGUCUUCGCUGGAUCGUUGAGCUAUCAGCAUCGUUUUUGGAAACCAGAUUCUGAGAGGAGUGACUGAGGAGGAGUUUUUGUACAGAAAGUGUGGAGCACCUUUUCCCCAACCCUGUUUCUCCACGGACCCUGGCGACCCGGACCCCUUUCCCCUGCACGUUGUAUAUAGCCACUUGGUGAUUGUGUUCACUGUGAAUAAACGCACUGUUCUUCGCUUAAAGGAACAUCCUGACCUGCGCCUGAGUCUCUUUCGGAAACCAUAUCACAAUCAUUGCAAUACAGUCAAAACAAUAAAUUUUAAAAACAGUAAAAAAAAUAUUUUGUACAGCUCCCAUCUUUUGCAGGAGCAGCUGUGUUUGUAUAAAUAUGGAAGAGGAGAAGUUGUUUACUUGAUGACUCUGGCCCUAAACCAAGCAGUUAUCAGUCCUUAUAUGAGUCAUGCACAACCCAGUAUUUUCAAAGUAAAAGUCUUUUAUUCUGUCACACGUUGGUUUGUGCCAUUUUUUUUUAAUAUAUACUGUUUAAAAAAUAUUGACCUCAGUGACCUUAUAAUUUGUUGUUAUUUAUAUUCAGUGGAUUAACAGAUUGUUAAUGUUAAUCAAUCUGAACCAGGAUUAAAGCUUCACUUUGCUGGUUACAGAUGAAUGCCAUGUGGAGUUAGUGUGAAGCAUCUGAUUUACUGUUGGCUGGUUUCAUCUGUGAAAACACAUCAUAUUAAAUGAAUUUAAGAUAAGCUGUCAGACUUUAUCUAACACAAUAUAAAGAAUAAAAUCACCUCAAUCAACAAGAUCAAAUGUACUCAGUUACUCUCCUGUACUCUAAGUACAGUCAUGCGAUUGACAGGAAGUGCUGCAGCAGCUGCAUGCUCUCUCUCCCUGCAGACUAUUUGCUGCUGCUCGUCUUGUCCAUGUUUUCUCUGUGUCUGUUUCUGCUGCUUCUUUGUCCUCACUGUAAACAGAUGUACUGAGAGACUCCUGCACUGAUGUUUCAUAGGAAAGUCCAAACAGCCUCACUGGUUCUCCAUGAAGAACAAAGAUUUGCUCUCUGUGGCUCCAACACAACUUAAAGACAAUCAAAGGUGGACAAAGUUCUCCAG